Molecule: ribosomal RNA, 497 nt
Filed under: uncultured bacterium
Lineage: Bacteria
Description: partial 16S ribosomal RNA
Rfam family: Bacterial small subunit ribosomal RNA
Source: RNAcentral
GAUGAACGCUGGCGGCGUGCCUAACACAUGCAAGUCGAUCGCACAGCUGCGGUGCUUCCGUCUCUGACGUUCGGAGGGGUGGGGAGAGUGUCACGUACAUGACCUACAGAUAAGAAUGGGAUAACUUCGGGAAUCCUGACACCAUGCCGUAUAAUACUUUCACACGCCUGGCUGAUGAGAGAAAACCCGUUUUGCUGUCCCUUCUUCCUGGUUCCUAGACGGAUUAGUUAGUUCGUAGGGUGACGGCUUACCAUAGCCACGCUGCGUAGCCGACCUGAGAGGGUGAUGAGCCACACUGGAACUGAGACACGGUCCAGACUCCUACGGGAGGCAGCAGUAGGGAAUCUUCCACAAUGGGCGAAAGCCUGACGGAGCAACGCCGCGUGAGUGAUGAAGGUAUUCGGAUCGUAAAACUCUGUUAUUAGGGAAGAACAAAUGUGUAAGUAACUAUGCACGUCUUGACGGUACCUGAUCAGGAAGCCACGGCUAACUACGUG